Molecule: long non-coding RNA, 1177 nt
Organism: Coccinella septempunctata (seven-spotted ladybird)
Lineage: Eukaryota; Metazoa; Arthropoda; Insecta; Coleoptera; Coccinellidae
Exons: 2
Source: RefSeq, a predicted model, not a curated record
CUAACCGGCAUAGAAUCUUUGAUACCCAUGCCUGAUAGGAACGCUAUCAUUUACAGUUUACCACUAUAUACAGGGAUCGUGCUAAAGAAAUUUCUAUUACGGUCAUUUCUCACUCAUGUUAUGGAAAACAUUCGAAUUCAUGCCAUCUGAAAAAAUAAAUAAAUAGGUAAAAUUUGAGAUAUUCAAAAUAGACCGAUGUUUGCUCAAAAUUUCUGACGACCCCUGUAUUAGUUCUCGUUAUCAUUCGCUACUGCCUAUCAAUAAACAUAACCAUUUAUACCUACAACAAAGGAACGAGAUUAGAGAUAACAGUCGACACUAACUUAUAUUUAUUCAAUGCUGGAUUAGAUUCUGAUCCGCUUCGGUGUUUGGCUCAAUGUUGACAGAUCAUCUGUCAGAUACUCCAAUGGAAACACUGUUGUUUACGUAUGAAUAGGAAAUUUAUGUUGUUACGAUUCGUAACUACUAGUGACAGACCACAGAAUAUCAUUUUCAGUGUUUCAGAAAAUUUUGCCAAUCUUAGAAAACAAAAUCUCAUAUUCAAACGCCAAAAAUCAGGAACACAGAAGAUUAUCGCCUAACAUUGAAGCCAGAGACUCUAUAACAGUGUUGCCAUCGCCAUUUUAUUCCCGAUUGGAAUCGAUUGAUUCGAAUUCUUUAGUUGCAGUCUUCCCUGUUUCAGUUCUAAUUUUAGUUGGCAGGAGAAUUAUAGCGGCCUGUCAAACGGUUAAAACAAAACCAUCCGGUCGGAACAAUAAAAUUAUAUUUAGAUGGUGGAAUGCCCGUAAUUUAUAAUGACGAUUACAAAUGUAUCGACGACGUUGGACAAAGCGAUUGUGUUCGUUACAGCCUAUUGGGGAGUAAUUGCUUAUCAAUUGGAUACGAGUAAACGAUUAAAUAGGGAGAUAAGUCACUAAUUUUGGUGAAAGAAUGAAACGUCGCUCUAUGUGUCAUCCAGUGGAUCACGGGUCUCAUUGUCGAUGAAAAUACCGAUGUGUGAACAUCUGCAAAAGCAAACAAAGUUGCAGAAUUCACCGUUGGAUCGUGGUACACGACCACAGAAAAAUAUUGACAGCCAACUCACGGUAUUGUCAAGUCAACAAUAUCAAUGGUUCAGCCUUUAACCUCACCAUCCUCGUUUUAUGUAUGUAGAACAAUAAACUGUCCAGAAAAUCGA